This 492-nucleotide ribosomal RNA is filed under the name uncultured bacterium. Its description in RNAcentral is "partial 16S ribosomal RNA". It matches the Rfam family "Bacterial small subunit ribosomal RNA", at positions 29 to 507 of the family's 1533-position model. The record is from RNAcentral.
AGUGAACGCUGGCGGUAGGCCUAACACAUGCCAGUCGAACGGCAGCACAGUAAGAGCUUGCUCUUACGGGUGGCGAGUGGCGGACGGGUGAGGAAUACAUCGGAAUCUACUUUUUCGUGGGGGAUAACGUAGGGAAACUUACGCUAAUACCGCAUACGACCUACGGGUGAAAGCAGGGGAUCUUCGGACCUUGCGCGAUUGAAUGCGCCGAUGUCGGAUUAGCUAGUUGGCGGGGUAAAGGCCCACCAAGGCGACGAUCCGUAGCUGGUCUGAGAGGAUGAUCAGCCACACUGGAACUGAGACACGGUCCAGACUCCUACGGGAGGCAGCAGUGGGGAAUAUUGGACAAUGGGCGCAAGCCUGAUCCAGCCAUACCGCGUGGGUGAAGAAGGCCUUCGGGUUGUAAAGCCCUUUUGUUUGGAAAGAAAAGCAGCAGGUUAAUACCCCGCUGUUCUGACGGUACCCAAAGAAUAAGCACCGGCUAACUUCGUG